CUGAGUCUGGGUGGCCCCUAAACCGGGCGCCCGACCUCUUAAACCCAGUGUCAAAAUUACACCUUGAAUGUUGCUUCGGCGGGACCGUCGUUAACCCGACCGCCGGGGGACUAGUUACCCAACCGGUUCUCUGGAGCGUUUGCCCGCCGAUGGCCUCAACCAAAACUCUUGAACAAAACCAUGUCUAAAACGUAUACCCAUGAAUUAAAUGGAUAAACA
RNAcentral lists this unclassified non-coding RNA (219 nucleotides) under uncultured fungus. Its description in RNAcentral is "sequence contains ITS1, 5.8S rRNA gene". Lineage: Eukaryota; Fungi. The record is from RNAcentral.